UACGUAGGGUGCAAGCGUUGUCCGGAUUUAUUGGGCGUAAAGAGCGUGUAGGCGGCCAUGUAGGUCCGGUGUGAAAACUCGAGGCUUAACCUCGAGAUGUCAUCGGAAACCAUUUGGCUAGAGUCCGGAAGAGGAGAGUGGAAUUCCUGGUGUAGCGGUGAAAUGCGCAGAUAUCAGGAAGAACACCCGUGGCUAAGGCGGCUCUCUAGUACGGUACUGACGCUGAGACGCGAAAGCGUGGGGAGCGAACAGG
This 253-nucleotide ribosomal RNA is filed under the name uncultured bacterium. RNAcentral's name for it is "partial 16S ribosomal RNA". It matches the Rfam family "Bacterial small subunit ribosomal RNA", at positions 524 to 776 of the family's 1533-position model. The record is from RNAcentral.